UAUACAUUCAUAAACACGAACGGUCUAAUGCCAUACUCCACUUCUACAAGCCAUUUUCGCAUGGCUGUACACUUAUACAUUUCAUAAAGUACUCGAAAAACAACAAUGGGUAGUCCUAUACAUGCCCUAUCAAAAUUCAACCAAAAUGGUACCCAAAAGAGCCUUUGAUAGUGUGGGCGACUUCGACUUCAAGAUCCCGAGUCCGGUAGCUGGAGAACCAAAAAUCUAUAAAACAGAGGAGCAGUGUAACGAGUAAGCAAUUUAUGCUUAGUAAGUUUUGAGCAAGGAAUUCCAGCAUAAACAAAGAAUAACACACAUUUAGCUAAACGGAAUAUUUCAUAAUACGCAAUUUACCGAUAUCAAACUUGCUUCACAACAUUAACAACCCUUAUGUACAUACACAAUAGUCUAACUUAGCCGAAGGCCGGUAGCUCGUUUAUCAACUGAGCGAACAUUUAUUUGUAAGGGCUCGAUUAAAUUCAACACAUACGUAACAUAUCCCCAUAUUGGGAUGUUUUUCGAGUAUUCGCUAGAAUUUUACAGCAAGCUCAUUCAUUACCAAAUCACGUACCUUCGGGAUUUAACCGGAUAUAGCUCCUCGUUCAAAUGCCUUCGGGACAUAGCCCGGUUUUAGUAACUCACACAAUGCCUUCGGGACAUAACCCGGAUUUAAUAACUCGCACGAAUGCCUUCGGGACUUAACCCGGAUUUAGUAUCUCGCACAAAGGCCUUCGGGGCUUAACCCGAAAUUUGUAUCUCGCACAAAUGCCUUCGGAUCUUAGUCCGGAUAUAUUCACUUAGCACAAAGCCUUCGGGACUUAGCCCGGACAGCAUUCAAUUAAUCAUGCACAUCUAACAAUAAUUCAUGGCACAUUCAUAUUUCAUUUUCAUUUGCGAAACUCAAACACAAGGCACAUAUCGUCCUUGCACAUUCGGCUCAAUAGCCACACAUAGAGCAUGAUUUAAUCACAUUGUAAUUUAAG
This 983-nucleotide long non-coding RNA is filed under the name Gossypium barbadense (sea-island cotton). RNAcentral's name for it is "long non-coding RNA (GBAR_LNC021149)". Lineage: Eukaryota; Viridiplantae; Streptophyta; Magnoliopsida; Malvales; Malvaceae. The record is from RNAcentral.